GAUGAACGCUGGCGGCGUGCCUAAUACAUGCAAGUCGAGCGAACAGACGAGGAGCUUGCUCCUCUGACGUUAGCGGCGGACGGGUGAGUAACACGUGGAUAACCUACCUAUAAGACUGGGAUAACUUCGGGAAACCGGAGCUAAUACCGGAUAAUAUAUUGAACCGCAUGGUUCAAUAGUGAAAGACGGUUUUGCUGUCACUUAUAGAUGGAUCCGCGCCGCAUUAGCUAGUUGGUAAGGUAACGGCUUACCAAGGCGACGAUGCGUAGCCGACCUGAGAGGGUGAGCGGCCACACUGAAACUGAGACACGGUCCAGACUCCUACGGGAGGCAGCAGUAGGGAAUCUUCCGAAAGGGGCGAAAGCCUGACGGAGCAACGCCGCAUGAGGGAUGAAGGUCUUCGGAUCGUAAAACUCUGUUAUUAGGGAAGAACAAAUGUGUAAGUAACUAUGCACGUCUAGACGGUACCUAAACAGAAAGCCACGGCUAACUACG
RNAcentral lists this ribosomal RNA (495 nucleotides) under uncultured bacterium. RNAcentral describes it as "partial 16S ribosomal RNA". It matches the Rfam family "Bacterial small subunit ribosomal RNA", at positions 28 to 505 of the family's 1533-position model. The record is from RNAcentral.